RNAcentral lists this ribosomal RNA (433 nucleotides) under uncultured bacterium. Its description in RNAcentral is "partial 16S ribosomal RNA". It matches the Rfam family "Bacterial small subunit ribosomal RNA", at positions 29 to 507 of the family's 1533-position model. The record is from RNAcentral.
AACGAACGCUGGCGGCAUGCCUAACACAUGCAAGUCGAGCGAGACCUUCGGGUCUAGCGGCGGACGGGUGCGUAACGCGUGGGAACGUGCCCUUCUGUACGGAAUAACCCCGGGAAAGGGGGAGUAAUACCGGAUACGCUCUUCGGGGGAAAGAUUUAUCGGAUAAGGAUCGGCCCGCGUUGGAUUAGGUAGUUGGUGGGGUAAUGGCCCACCAAGCCGACGAUCCAUAGCUGGUCUGAGAGGAUGAUCAGCCACACUGGGACUGAGACACGGCCCAGACUCCUACGGGAGGCAGCAGUGGGGAAUCUUAGACAAUGGGCGCAACCCUGAUCUAGCCAUGCCGCGUGAGUGAUGAAGGCCUUAGGGUUGUAAAGCUCUUUCAGCUGGGAAGAUAAUGACGGUACCAGCAGAAGAAGCCCCGGCUAACUCCGUG